This 384-nucleotide long non-coding RNA is filed under the name Dasypus novemcinctus (nine-banded armadillo). Its description in RNAcentral is "lncRNA (ENSDNOG00000052354.1)". The record is from RNAcentral. Lineage: Eukaryota; Metazoa; Chordata; Mammalia; Cingulata; Dasypodidae.
AACAUUACUACCUAUCUACUGAUAAGCUCAGACGUUGCCUAAGGGAUUCGGUGGCAGGAUAUUAACAUCGUCUGAAACAAUAUCUGAAGCCAAGACAGUCAAGUCUCAAAUCCUGACUCUGCCAAGUACCAACUGUGUGAUUUAAGGCCUAUGGAUCAGAACCGGUUGCAGCGCUGGCAGUGAUAUCUGGAAGAGGACUUUCUACUUGCCCAGCAGAUCACCAGCAGCAGGGGCCUUUCUCACACACAAGCAUCUUCUCAGAUUUGCUUGUUGAUGGCCGCCUUUUGUCAAUGCGGAUGGAUUUUAUAGGAACUUGCUGUGUGUCAUACUUCGCCUCAUAAACUGAGUAAUACAUCUUUGGACCAACCCCCAAAAAACUAAGAG